GCCAACGAUCAUACCACGUUGAAUACACCAGUCCCCGUGGGAUCACUGAAGUUAAGCAACGUCGGGCGUGGUCAGUACUAGGAUGGGUAACCACUUGGGAACACCACGUAUCGUUGGCUCCA
RNAcentral lists this ribosomal RNA (122 nucleotides) under Pachypsylla venusta (hackberry petiole gall psyllid). Lineage: Eukaryota; Metazoa; Arthropoda; Insecta; Hemiptera; Aphalaridae. The record is from RNAcentral.